GAGUUUGAUCCUGGCUCAGGACGAACGCUGGCGGCGUGCUUAACACAUGCAAGUCGAACGGUGAUGUCAGAGCUUGCUCUGGCGGAUCAGUGGCGAACGGGUGAGUAACACGUGAGUAACCUGCCCCCGACUCUGGGAUAACUGCUAGAAAUGGUAGCUAAUACCGGAUAUGACGAUUGGCCGCAUGGUCUGGUCGUGGAAAGAAUUUCGGUUGGGGAUGGACUCGCGGCCUAUCAGGUUGUUGGUGAGGUAAUGGCUCACCAAGCCUACGACGGGUAGCCGGCCUGAGAGGGUGACCGGCCACACUGGGACUGAGACACGGCCCAGACUCCUACGGGAGGCAGCAGUGGGGAAUAUUGCACAAUGGGCGAAAGCCUGAUGCAGCAACGCCGCGUGAGGGAUGACGGCCUUCGGGUUGUAAACCUCUUUUAGUAGGGAAGAAGCGAAA
Molecule: ribosomal RNA, 448 nt
Filed under: Clavibacter sepedonicus
Lineage: Bacteria; Bacillati; Actinomycetota; Actinomycetes; Micrococcales; Microbacteriaceae
Also listed under: 1 other name
Description: bacterial SSU rRNA
Rfam family: Bacterial small subunit ribosomal RNA
Source: RNAcentral